This 140-nucleotide ribosomal RNA is filed under the name uncultured eukaryote. Its description in RNAcentral is "partial 18S ribosomal RNA". It matches the Rfam family "Eukaryotic small subunit ribosomal RNA", at positions 1299 to 1458 of the family's 1831-position model. The record is from RNAcentral.
UGGUGGAGUGAUUUGUCUGGUUAAUUCCGUUAACGAACGAGACCUCCGCGUGCUAAAUAGUUCUGUUUACCAAUUUGGUAGAUAAGGACUUCUUAGAGGGACUUUCAGUGACUAACUGAAGGAAGUUGGAGGCAAUAACA